Molecule: ribosomal RNA, 497 nt
Filed under: uncultured bacterium
Lineage: Bacteria
Description: partial 16S ribosomal RNA
Rfam family: Bacterial small subunit ribosomal RNA
Source: RNAcentral
GAUGAACGCUGGCGGCGUGCCUAAUACAUGCAAGUCGAGCGAACAGACGAGGAGCUUGCUCCUCUGACGUUAGCGGCGGACGGGUGAGUAACACGUGGAUAACCUACCUAUAAGACUGGGAUAACUUCGGGAAACCGGAGCUAAUACCGGAUAAUAUAUUGAACCGCAUGGUUCAAUAGUGAAAGACGGUUUUGCUGUCACUUAUAGAUGGAUCCGCGCCGCAUUAGCUAGUUGGUAAGGUAACGGCUUACCAAGGCAACGAUGCGUAGCCGACCUGAGAGGGUGAUCGGCCACACUGGAACUGAGACACGGUCCAGACUCCUACGGGAGGCAGCAGUAGGGAAUCGUACGCAAUGGGCGAAAGCAUGACGGAGCAACGCCGCGUGAGUGAUGAAGGUCUUCGGAUCGUAAAACUCUGUUAUUAGGGAAGAACAAAUGUGUAAGUAACUAUGCACGUCUUGACGGUACCUAAUAAGAAAGCCACGGCUAACUACGUG